GAUGAACGCUGGCGGCGUGCCUAAUACAUGCAAGUCGAGCGAACAGACGAGGAGCUUGCUCCUCUGACGUUAGCGGCGGACGGGUGAGUAACACGUGGAUAACCUACCUAUAAGACUGGGAUAACUUCGGGAAACCGGAGCUAAUACCGGAUAAUAUAUUGAACCGCAUGGUUCAAUAGUGAAAGACGGUUUUGCUGUCACUUAUAGAUGGAUCCGCGCCGCAUUAGCUAGUUGGUAGGGUAACGGCUUACCAAGGCAACGAUGCGUAGCCGACCUGAGAGGGUGGACGGGCAAAAUGGGACUGAGACACGGACCAAAAGCCAAGGGGAGGGAGCAGAAGGGAAUGUUCCGCAAAGGACGAAAGUCUGAGGGAGCAACGCCGCGUGAGUGAAGAAGGCGUUCGGGUCGUAAAACUCUGUGGACGGGGAAGAAAAAGUACCGUCAGAACAGGGCGGCGCCUUGACGGUACCCGGACAGAAAGCCACGGCUAACUACGUG
This 498-nucleotide ribosomal RNA is filed under the name uncultured bacterium. Its description in RNAcentral is "partial 16S ribosomal RNA". It matches the Rfam family "Bacterial small subunit ribosomal RNA", at positions 28 to 507 of the family's 1533-position model. The record is from RNAcentral.